GGUAAUGUGGCUUAGUGGUAGAGUGCUUGCCUAGCAUGCAUGAAGCCCUGGGUUCGAUUCCUUAGUACCA
Molecule: transfer RNA, 70 nt
Filed under: Dipodomys ordii (Ord's kangaroo rat)
Lineage: Eukaryota; Metazoa; Chordata; Mammalia; Rodentia; Heteromyidae
Rfam family: tRNA
About the family: Transfer RNA (tRNA) molecules are approximately 80 nucleotides in length. Their secondary structure includes four short double-helical elements and three loops (D, anti-codon, and T loops).
Source: Rfam by way of RNAcentral